Long non-coding RNA from Meriones unguiculatus (Mongolian gerbil), 3994 nucleotides. RefSeq lists it as uncharacterized. The record is from RefSeq and is a predicted model, not a curated record. The transcript has 3 exons. Lineage: Eukaryota; Metazoa; Chordata; Mammalia; Rodentia; Muridae.
UAUUUUUGGUUUUGGUUUUGUCUGUUUGUUCGUAGUCCUGUCUGUCCUGGACUCACUUUGUAGACCAGGCUGGUCUCCAACUCACAGACAUCUGCCUGCCUCUGCCUCCCUGAGUGCUGGGACUGUACCUGGCUUAUCAGGAAAAUUUUAAAUUUACCUUUUAUCAUUAGUUUUCUUCUUUAACUCCUGUAGUACUUUGUAUCUUAGUUCUUUCUAUUAGCUUUUACCUCAAGUAAAAUAUUGGAGUUUAUCAGAUAAAACAACUGAAUGGAAUCUGUAGCUAAAAAUAUCACCUGGAAUACAGUACCAAAAGUAAACAGGUGGAAAAUAUGGAAAAACAGUCAGUCUUUCCUUGACAGAUAUAAUCUAUUUUGAAAGGAAUGAAAAUGAUAUAAAGACAUUUUCAGAAAAAAACACAGAACAGCAAAGACUGAUAUUAAGAUGUAAUUAAAGAUGAAGGAAAAGGAUAAUCUGAGAUGUGACAAGGAACAGUAAGUAAAUAGGAGUGUAUAGGUAUAAAGAUAAAUGUCUAAGCAAAUUCUGCAGAAUGACCACAUUUCAAAGGCUCUAAGGUUAUUUUAAUUUAAAAAAUUUUUUCUUAGUUUUGAAGUUACAUUUCGCUGUCGAGCAUUUACUUUCAGAUCAGAUUUUAGUAUGAUUAUCCUAUAGUAUAAAUCUAAUAUUCACUUAUAAGUGAGUAUAUAUCAUGUGUGUCUUUCUGCUUCGGGGAUAGCUCACUCAGGAUGAUCUUUUUUAGUUCCCACCAUUUGCCUGCAAAUUCAUGAUUUCUUUGUUUGUAAUUGCUGAGUAGUAUUCCAUUGUGUAAAUGUAACACAAUUUCUGUAUCCAUUCCUAACUGAGGGACAUCUGGGCUGUUUCCAGGUUCUGGCUACUACAAAUAAAGUUGCUAUGAACAUGGUUGAACAAAUGUCCUUGUGUACUUGAGCAUGUUUUGGAUAUAUGCCUAGAAGUGGUAUAACUGGAUCUUGAGGAAGCACUAUUCCUAAUUGUCUGAGAAAGCGUCAGAUGGAUUUCCAAAGUGGUUUGUACAAGUUUGCAUUCCCACCAGCAAUAGAGUAGGGUUCCUCUUUCUCCACAUCCUCUCCGGCAUGUGUUGUCACUUGAGUUUUUUGAUCUUAGCCUUUCUGAUGGGUGUAAGGUGAAAUCUCAGGGUCGUUUUGAUUUGCCUUUCUCUGAUGACUAAGGAUGCUGAGCAUUUCUUUAACUGUUUCUCUGCCAUUCGAUGUUCCUCUCUUGAGAAUUCUGUUUAGCUCUGUAUCCCAUUUUUUAAUUGGGUUACUUGAUUUGUUGCUGUUUAACUUCUUAAGUUCUUUAUAUAUUCUGGAUAUUAGCCCUCUGUCAGAUAUAGGGUUGGUAAAAAUCCUUUCCCAGUCUUUAGGCUGUCGUUUUAUUCUGAUGACAGUGUCCUUUGCUUUAGAUCAUUCCUGGUGGUCCUGUGCUUGCUUGUCAUCUUUGUGGCUGCUUAGACCAUUGCUUUAGACAUCUGUUACCUAGUUAUUGUAUAGUUUGUAUCUGUCAGGCAAUUCCAACCUCUAAAUAAUCGUGCAUAUUGACUUUUUCUUUAUCCAUACUGGCUUCUGAGUUUAUAUUCCUUCAUGUUUUUGUUGCUUUUGUAGUCCUGGGAAUGGAACCCAAUCCUUUUUGCCUGCUGAGUAAGUACUGUGCCAGUGAGCUACAUACUAGCCCUUAGUUUUUUUAGGGGGGGGGGUUGUUUGGUUUGUUUUGUUUUGAAACAGAGUCUUGCUGUGUAACCUAGCUGGUAGUCCUCUUGCUUAUACAAAUACCGAGGCUACCGGAGUGUGGCAGCACAGGGUGUGGCUUUACUAUGUGAAGAGUCACUUCAAACAAGAUUUGCCUCUCCUCCUUUCUGUCACAUGACCUGGGCUGUUAGCCUCCUUGUGCUCCUCCAGCCCUUUCUGUGGUGAGCUGAAAACAAAUGAACCUUGUUUGACUCCUAGGUAAUAGUUGCUGUUGACAUUUGUCCUCAGACCAGCCCCAAUAUUCCUGCUUACAUGCUGGCUGACGCUGUAGUUUCUCUAAGACAUAAAUUUCCCUUUAUUUGGUAGAUAGUGGAUUUUAAAAGUUUUUGAUUUCUGUGUGAAACUUUCAUUUGCUACCAAUACGUGUCAUUAUGUCUUUAUAUAUACUUGCUUACCUGUAUGUGUGUAUACCAUGUGCACAUAGCGCCCAUGGAAGCAAGAAGAACCUCUGGAACUUAGUUACAGAUGUUGUGAGUCACUGUGUGUGUGCUGGGAAUUGAACCCAUGUUUCCUGAACGAUCAGUCAGUGCUCUUAACCUGUGAACCAUCUCUACAGCCCCGUGUCUCUGUUUUAAUUUUAAUUUGGUAAAUGUUUAUUUUAUUUUAUGUGUCCAAGUGUUUUGCCUUUGUGCAUGUCUGUAUACUGCAUAUGUGUAGUGCCCACAGAAGUCAGAAGGGGGCGUCAGAUUCCUUGCAACUGAAUGUUACAGAUCUGGCUUGGGAGUUGGAGAUGCCCCAGAACUGGAUGGUGGUGAGCUCCCACGUGGGUGCUGGGAGUCGAACCUAGGUCCUUGGCAACAGAAAGAAGUACUCCUAACCUCAGAGCCAUCUCUCCAGUCCCUAAUUUUAAUUUUAAGUAUCAACUCUGGUGCUUUUAAUGGUCUUUAGUGAAACUUAAUGUGUGUUUUUGGCUUCACACUAUGCUGAACAUUUUUUCAAGUAUUUAUUGGUAGUUAUAUUUCUUUAUUUGAGAGUUGUUUAUUUAGUUCAUUAGCCUAUGUUUUGAUUGGGUUAUUUUCUUGAAUUUCUUUUACUCUAGAUACUAAUGCUGGAUCAGAUGCAUGUCUGGCAAUUUUUCUUCCACUUUGUGGGCUGCCUCUUCAGAUGACAAUUUCAUUUACUUUAUGGGAGUGAUUCAGUUUCAUGAGUUCCUAUUUGUUGGUUAUUGGGUUUAUUUCCCGAGAUCUGACUAAUAUUCAGAAAGACCUUAACUAGUGCUUUAUCUUGAAAAUGUACAUUGUCCUCUAAGAGUUUCUGAGUUUCAGACCCUCUGUUGAGGUCUCUGAUCCAUUUGGAGUUGAUUUCUGUACACGGUGAGAGUUAAGGCUCUUGGUUUAAUUCUUCUACAUGUGGAUGUCCAGCUUCCCCAGCACCAUUUGUUGAAGAUGCCUUUUCUUCGAUUGUGCUUUUGGCAUCUUUAUAAAAAAAAUUAGGUGGCUAUGAUUUUGUAUUUGGGGUCUCUUUCUCUUCCAGUAAUCUGUUGGUCUGUUUUUGUGCCAGUAUCACGCUGUUUUUAUUCCAAUGGCUCUGCAGCAUACCGUGAAGUCAGGUGUGGUGGCUGGUUUAUGUCAGCACAAGUUAGUCAUGGGAGAGGAGGGAGCCUCGACUGAGAACAUGCCUCCAUGAACACCACACUGUAACAGUAUUCUCACAGGUACUCGGAAUUCUCACAGGACUCUAUUCCUGGACCAUGUUCUGACUACAACACACUGAACUGUCUGAGAAUUGUUGAAGGUGAGACAAGGAAGAAAGAUGCCAUUCAUUUUCUGUACAUUUGCACAAUGCAAAACUUCCUGUGUAAGUGAGGCCAAUACUGCUGAAAAUAUCGUGCAAUUCAUCUGAAACAAAUGGAAUCUAUGAAGGUAUUGGCUUCUAGAUGAUAACAGAAUCCCUGAAAAGGAUUAAGGGUCCAUUGCAACAUUCAAAUACAAAGAGUGUUUAAUAGCAUAUUCUCAAGUGGUAAAUUUAGAUGUCCUACAGAAAGUUGCUGUGUAUACAGACUUGAUUCCUAGGUAAUUGUAAUUCUGGAGGGUCUGUUGCUAGUAAUAACAGCAAUAAUAACAAUUAUGUACAACAUAAAGACUAUGAUUAGUUAAAUUAUUUUAGGGAUUUAGAUCACAUAAGUAGAUUUUAAUGAUUCUUGUCAUACUUAAGCAUGUGAGUCAGUGUUACUCUAUUUCACUUUAAUAACAAUGUUAAUAUCCAUUGUAUAA